GAUGAACGCUGGCUACAGGCUUAACACAUGCAAGUCGUGGGGAAACGGCAUUAUGUGCUUGCACAUUCUGGACGUCGACCGGCGCACGGGUGAGUAUCGCGUAUCCAACCUGCCCCUUACUUGGGGAUACCCCGUUGAAAGACGGCCUAAUACCCGAUGUGUUUCAUUGACGGCAUCCGAUAUGAAACAAAGGUUUUUCCGGUAAGGGAUGGGGAUGCGUCUGAUUAGCUAGUUGGCGGGGCAACGGCCCACCAAGGCGACGAUCAGUAGGGGUUCUGAGAGGAAGGUCCCCCACAUUGGAACUGAGACACGGUCCAAACUCCUACGGGAGGCAGCAGUGAGGAAUAUUGGUCAAUGGACGCAAGUCUGAACCAGCCAAGUAGCGUGCAGGAUGACGGCCCUAUGGGUUGUAAACUGCUUUUAUGUGGGAAUAAAUUGGCGCACGUGUGCGCCAUUGCAUGUACCUCAUGAAUAAGGACCGGCA
Molecule: ribosomal RNA, 484 nt
Filed under: Prevotella nigrescens
Lineage: Bacteria; Pseudomonadati; Bacteroidota; Bacteroidia; Bacteroidales; Prevotellaceae
Description: bacterial SSU rRNA
Rfam family: Bacterial small subunit ribosomal RNA
Source: RNAcentral